This 74-nucleotide transfer RNA is filed under the name bacterium. RNAcentral describes it as "tRNA-His". It matches the Rfam family "tRNA". Rfam says of the family: Transfer RNA (tRNA) molecules are approximately 80 nucleotides in length. The record is from RNAcentral. RNAcentral also lists the same sequence under 2 other names.
GUGGGCGUAGCUCAGCCGGUGAGAGCGCCAGACUGUGGAUCUGGAGGUUGGGGGUUCGAGUCCCCUCGCCCACC